Molecule: ribosomal RNA, 440 nt
Filed under: uncultured bacterium
Lineage: Bacteria
Description: partial 16S ribosomal RNA
Rfam family: Bacterial small subunit ribosomal RNA
Source: RNAcentral
CCUACGGGAGGCAGCAGUAGGGAAUAUUGCUCAAUGGGGGAAACCCUGAUGCAGCAACGCCGCGUGGAGGAUGAAGGUUUUCGGGUUGUUAACUCCUUUUGUUAGAGAAGAUAAUGACGGUAUCUGACGAAUAAGCACCGGCUAACUCCGUGCCAGCAGCCGCGGUAAUACGGAGGGUGCAAGCGUUACUCGGAAUCACUGUGCGUAAAGAGCGCGUAGGCGGGAUAGCAAGUCAGAUGUGAAAUCCUAUGGCUUAACCAUAGAACUGCAUUUGAAACUGUUAUUCUAGAGUAUGGGAGAGGUAGGUGGAAUUCUUGGUGUAGGGGUAAAAUCCGUAGAGAUCAAGAGGAAGACUCAUUGCGAAGGCGACCUGCUAGAACAUAACUGACGCUGAGGCGCGAAAGCGUGGGGAGCAAACAGGAUUAGAUACCCGAGUAGUC